CGAGCCCGUCGGUCCGGCCCGGCCGCGCUCCCGCCGCCGCCCCGCCAUGUGGCUGCUGGCCGCCUCCGUGCUGCUCGGCGCCCUGCGCGCAGGUUCUGCCCAGUUAAUCCUCACUGGAACAGACAUUGUUGAAAAAAAUGACUGUAAUGAAACUGUCAUUUUACCUUGUUAUGUGACUAAUCUAAGGGAGAACAAUGAAAAUGUCAUGUUUGUUACAUGGAAAAAAGAAAAAAAGGUAAUUUUUUCUUUUCGUGGAGGAACAAACGAGUUUUAUAAAGACCCAUCGUUUUUAUCAGCAAAAUUGGUAUCUCAGGCGGAUUUAACCAAGGGUGUGGCCUCUCUGAUGCUUAGCACUGCACAAGCAACCGUUGGAAAUUACAGUUGUGAAGUAACAGAAUCAAACAGAGAAGGAGAAACAAGAAUGGAACUUAGACAGAGCUCAGUUGUCAGUUGCGGCGAGGAAAAUACAACACCAAAGGAAGCAGGUGGAUCAUGGUUCCUCAUUGUGGAAAGGGCUAUCAUCAUAUCAUUGCUGUGCAUAGUUAUUAUUUUGUGUGCGGCUCAGCUCAUUGUCAUUGUAUUAAAAUGUGAAAUGGAAUCUCAAAGGAGAGUGUGCAUUAUAAUACCAAUUGUCAUCUUUGUAGCUGUAGCUGGUGUAGGCACUGCUCUUUUUUUCCAAGAUGGCUACACUGCACAGAAUCAAGCUGGUCUUGGCCUAAUUGUAGUCCCUGCUGUGAUUUUGGUACCAUUUCAAUACUUCAUGUUUGGAAUUGUUUUUGACAGUCUACCUCAAACGACACUGGCUCUGAUAGGUUUGAAAAUUCUUGGUUAUAUAAUUGCCGUGGUUGGCUUUGCACUGUGUGUCCCAGCCUGUCCUCCAUUACAUGCGUCUGUUCUGAUUGCUGGCUUUGCUAUUAUGGCUACUGCAAGUUUGCUUAGUCUGGUUUACGUUGUUAUUAUGGGUUCCAGAAUGAAAGAUCAUCCUCGUCCAGGGAAUCACUACUUACUGUAUAUGUCAAUUAGAGUAAUUUAACUGUGGCGAGCCAAAAAUAAACAUGAAGGCUUUUUAUACAUAUAUAUAUUUUUAAAUGUUUUGCAGAAAGCUGUAGAAGAACCACUAAAUGGUAGGUGAUGUUCAAGGCUUAUCUUCUAAUUAAGGGAUUAAUGUUGGAAAAAGGCUGAACAAUAAGUGUAGUUCCCAGUAGAAUAGCAUUGAAAAGGCAGAUCAGUAUGUCAAUAUAUGUGGCUCUGUGAGUCAGAAGAGUUUGAUCUCCUCAGGGAAGUUAGGGCAGAUCCAAUCUCCUUGCUCUAUGCUACUUUCCUUGCUAGCCAGUGGCAUUGUUUGACUGUUGUAGGACAAAUCUAACAUUUUAGGAUAUUUUACUUGCCCUCUGUGCUUUGCAAAAUGUCCAGCUUUUAAGAGAGAAAGAGGGAUGGGUCUUGAUAUUAAUUCUUCAAAAACAUUUGUUUAGGUGAAAUACUUCCGAUUAUAGUAAAAUCUAUCCUUGCCACUCUGUUGUUCCCAUAGUUCUUUGGGUUGGGGGAAACUCUGCCAUGGUGUUGGGAAACUCUGUUAGCACUUAAGGUGAGGGAAAUUUACAGUGAGAAAGGGAUGCCUCUAAAAUUCUAUUUUUCUCUUUCUUUCUCUUUGCUAUUAUAAUCACUAAUUGGCAUGCUGAGUAGUAGCAAGUUCUAACCUGAAUUUUAGAAUUAAUCUGAAUGUUAAUUAUUAAGCAUUUCUUGCUGAGUCAUUACUAAUCCAUUUGCUUGGUUUUUAAAGAUGCAAAAGGAGUGAUGUUAGAAUGAUGAGCUGCAAAGCUAUGUGAUACGUGAAUAAAAUGUACACCGUUGUUGAUACACCGUGGCCUUGAAGAUGCACUACUCAACGAGAAGAAAUUCAGGAAACUGGUUGUUUUGCAUGUGUGGCAAAAGUGCUUUUGAUAUAAAUGACGUAAUUUUAUAGUCACAGCAGCUGUAGCAAGGAACAUGUGUGUUUGCCCACAUGUGAACUUUAUUUUCUUUUGUUCUGGUAUAUAUGGGAUGGUUGAGGGUGAGAACAUAGAAAGCACUGUUUGCCCACUACAGGGUCUCCCUGCAGUAAUCCUUAGUGGUAUUAUUUUCAAAAACUAUCAUUAGUCACUGCUUUGAUAAUGGGCCUGCUCAGCCCAGAGGUUGCAAUACCAUUUAGACUAUUGUUUUCUUUAUUUGUGUGCAUGGGCAAAGUAUGGUCUAUGUGUGUGAUACAAGCAGGAAGUAGAGAUUGUAAAAAUACAUCUUUUCUGACAUUCAGCAAAACUUUUCUAAGAAAAAGUAAAACCUUUUACACAAAGUUGCAUAAGUACAAAGUUUACUCCCAGUUCUCAUGAAGUCAUUAAGAGAGUUCUAAUUCCACAAAACAUUAGCAUUCCUCUCUCUGGACAGUAGCCACGUAUGCUGUGGUGGCUGGUAUUUUUGUCCAGUGAGAGAGCAUUCCGUGCCUCCUCUGUAUUCCUGGAUGAGAAACUGCUCAGCUGUUGGAGCCUAAUUCAGCACUGGAAUUACGGAGCACAGCAGUUAGUAAUUUUCAUGCUGAAUGUGGUUCUUAUGUGUGUGUUCAUGUUGUGCAGUGUGUGGUACUGGAAGCAAUUUCAGGCUUUCUUAACUCAAUGAAUUUGUAAAAGUCGUGGAUGCUUCAUAAAAAUAAGAGCCGUCCUAUUUAGUGUAUUUUUGGCAGAGUUUUAAAAUCUUGUUUUCUUGAAUGGAAAAAAGGAGCUAUAUAAUUUCUCACCGAAGUUUAUGUUGCUGCCAUUAUAUCACAAAUACAUAAAAUACAAAGUAAGUAGGAGGAGCUGAUGAGAAAUAAGGAAGCUCAGUUUCUGUAUAUAUAUAUAUGUGGUACAGUUAAAAAUCAGUUUUCUAGGACUUGCACAUUCCAUGAGAUUUUACCACAUUUUACAGCUGUUAUGGGAGUUGUUCCAGUAUACUUGGUUUCUCUUGGACUUUGUGUAUACUUUGUAGAAAUCUUGACACUGUCUGCUGUUUGUACUAAGGUAUUGUAUUUCAAAGAUACACAUGGUUUUCUCCUCCUAACAAUUUAAAACUUGGUUUGCCAAGCAGUAACGUAAUAAAAUCCAUAUUUUUAAAGAUUCUGAGUAAUUUGGCACUUCUCAGAGUUGAAUGUUACAAAGUUCCAUGUCCAUAUUGUGGGUGCAUGUUGCAGAGAUUCCGGUCUCUGCACGUUGAGCUCCAAGUCUUGAUGCAGGCACUUGGCAUUGAGAAUUCAACAAAACAGAAUUGAGGUACCUGAUCUUACAAAUGGUGCUGUCAUAAACAGCCCUCUUGCUAAGGCUGCAGGAUUGAACCAUUUAAAGCAACCUCUAGUCCAGCCCUCUCUAGGAUCAGUGGAACUGGGCACAGGGAAGAGGAUCAUUCAUGUGAUAAAACAUGAAAGAAGCAUGUAUGGCUUACACUCACUGUCGUACGUUAGUCAGUGGGAGCGUUUGCGUGUAAGAUUUGAGCUCUUACCUAUGAAUCUUUUGAUGCAGGUUUUUCCAUAAUGUCAGUGAUCUCUAGCUAAAGAUGGGAGAUGAUUUUCCAUUAACAAUUCAGUGUAAGAAUUUAUCUGAUUAGCACUGUGUGGUGUUCCCUGUUUAUAACUAGUGAUUCCCUCUGGCAAAUUAAAAGUCUAGCAGCUGAGGAAUUGAAAAACCAAAUCAAGUGGGAUUCUGUUGAGGUAUUCUGCCUUAUAAAAACUGUUAUGUACAAAAUAGCUUUAUGUUACCUUCUGUAAAGCAAACUGCAGCAGAACCCGUUUGUGUCACCUUGGGAUCGGGCCGAGCUCAAAACCUGAGGAGCUCGGUGGCCCUGUAGGGGCUGCAGAAUCAGUUGCCCCAGAAAUGGGAGAAACCCACUGUCCUGUUGUGUUAAGGGCUGGAUUUCUUGUAGGUACAAACUUAAAAGCAAGAGUUUUAAAAGUCAUUGAUACACCCAGCCCUUUUCCACCAGUAAUUUAAGACCAAAGUUGUUCAUAACUGUGUGCUUUCAUUUGUGUGUGUACAUGUGUGUAUAUACAAACAUACAGAUAUUUGAAAUAUCUAUAGAUCUAUAGUCUUUACCCAAGAAAAUGUUUUUAUUUAUGAAACAGGAAAUGAUUUUGUAAAUAUUGUGCUAAUAUACUUAAAAAAAUAAAGUCAUUUUAAGUUGUU
RNA transcript from Empidonax traillii (willow flycatcher), 4184 nucleotides. It is a transcript of the gene named CD47 molecule, with no coding region annotated. NCBI's taxonomy places the organism in Eukaryota, Metazoa, Chordata, Aves, Passeriformes, Tyrannidae. The transcript has 11 exons. The record is from RefSeq and is a predicted model, not a curated record.